GAAUGGUGUAAUCUUCAAACGUGGAAGUUUUGCCAAACUAGCCUUUGCCUGUGUUUCCAUUUCAAUCUUUUUCUCGGUCAUUCGUAAUUCUGCGUUAAAUUUUUCUUCCCACAUUUCUCUUUCGCGCUCUCGUAUUUCUCGCCGACGACGUUCUCGUUCUCCCUUUCUGCUUCUUGUUUUUCCCACUCUAUUUCAUCGUUUGUUUU
Molecule: non-coding RNA, 206 nt
Organism: Paramuricea clavata
Lineage: Eukaryota; Metazoa; Cnidaria; Anthozoa; Malacalcyonacea; Plexauridae
Source: the annotation of a GenBank genome assembly